Molecule: ribosomal RNA, 130 nt
Filed under: uncultured bacterium
Lineage: Bacteria
Description: partial 16S ribosomal RNA
Rfam family: Bacterial small subunit ribosomal RNA
Source: RNAcentral
UGAGUAACCUGCCCUUAACUCUGGGAUAAGCCUGGGAAACUGGGUCUAAUACCGGAUAUGACUCCUCAUCGCAUGGUGGGGGGUGGAAAGCUUUAUUGUGGUUUUGGAUGGACUCGCGGCCUAUCAGCUU